GGAUCAAUAUGUUGGUCGUGCCCUUGGUACGUACUAGCUUAUUGAUUUCUCCCUUCUGAUGAACCAUGAUGUCAUUGAUUUGGUGUCAUGGGGAAUCAGGACUGUUACUUUGAAAAAAUUAGAGUGUUUAAAGCAGGCUUACGCUUGAAUACAUUAGCAUGGAAUAAUGAAAUAGGACGUUUUGAUUCUAUUUUGUUGGUUUCUAGAGUCGCCGUA
This 216-nucleotide ribosomal RNA is filed under the name Campeiostachys nutans. RNAcentral's name for it is "Elymus nutans partial small subunit ribosomal RNA". The stretch from base 39 to 216 matches the Rfam family "Eukaryotic small subunit ribosomal RNA", at positions 686 to 864 of the family's 1831-position model. Lineage: Eukaryota; Viridiplantae; Streptophyta; Magnoliopsida; Poales; Poaceae. The record is from RNAcentral.